GCCCCCCUCCCCUCUCUUUCCCCCCCCCCCCCCCCCCCCCUCCUCCCGCCGGGGCGAGGGUUCCGCCGGCCCCUCGGCGCCCCCCCUCCAGCCUCCCCGGGGCCGGGCAGGCGCUUCUGCGCCACGGCGCUGCCGGCCCGCUUCGCUCCGCUCCCCUCCGGCGGGGGAGGAAGCGCCGACCCCACCAUCCGGCCCGGGGCCCCCGCCCGCCCUCAGCCACCCGCGGAGGAGGCGGGCGGGGGCACAGGUGGGCAGCCCCAGCGCCGCCGUCCUCCGGGGGCGGUGGAGGAGACCCCGCCGCAGCUUCCCCCCCCCCCGCCCCUCGCCCUACCACCACCGCCCGGGUCCGGCCGCGGCCGUUGCGCCAAGGCCGGGCCGCGGCCGGCCGGGCCGGGCCGGGCCGUGUGGUGGGGCCGGGCUCGGCGGGGACCGCGCCGGGCCUGCCCCGCCUCAGAUCUCGGGAAGUAGUUGGGUGCGACCUGAACUUGUCCCUCGUCCUUUGGCCCGCUCCGGCCCGGCGUGCCCUGGCGGGCCCGGCGGCGCCGGGUUGAGGUGCGCGGCCUCGGGGGGCGCCGGGUGGCAGCUGGCCGCCGGCGGGGCGAGGGGCGUCGGGCGUUCGUCGGCCGGUCAGCGGCGCCGGCCUCGCAGCCCUGCUGGUUUUCUUUUUUUUUUUUUUUNNGGGGGGGGGGAGGGCGGCCGCCGGGGGGGGGGGGGGCGUGGGGGGUGGGUCGGCCGGGCGGCGGGGCCGGCCUCGCGGCCCUGCUGGUUUUCUUUUUUUUUUUUUUUUCUUUUUUUUUUUUUUUUUUCUCUCCUGUGCCGUGGUCGUCACCCUCGCUUUGCGCAUCGCGUGCUGCCCCCAAACUUCGGACAGGGCCCGAAACUUUGCCAGCAGGACCGGGCUCUCCCACUCCCAAAAUGGAUGUCGGCGUCUCUUCCACGAAGCGACGGGCAAUGGAGCGGUUUGCCGGCCUUCGCUCGGCCCGAGGGCUGCGGGGCUGCUGUGGAGUGA
This 1009-nucleotide long non-coding RNA is filed under the name Accipiter nisus (Eurasian sparrowhawk). Its description in RNAcentral is "lncRNA (ENSANIG00000004858.1)". Lineage: Eukaryota; Metazoa; Chordata; Aves; Accipitriformes; Accipitridae. The record is from RNAcentral.